This 515-nucleotide ribosomal RNA is filed under the name uncultured bacterium. RNAcentral describes it as "bacterial SSU rRNA". It matches the Rfam family "Bacterial small subunit ribosomal RNA", at positions 19 to 518 of the family's 1533-position model. The record is from RNAcentral.
CUGGCUCAGAUUGAACGCUGGCGGCGUGCUUAACACAUGCAAGUCGCGCGUGAAAGGACUUCGGUCCGAGUAAAGCGGCGCACGGGUGAGUAACGCGUGGAUGAUCUACCCAUGAGUUGGGAAUAACGGCUGGAAACGGUCGCUAAUACCGAAUACGCUCCGAUUUCAACUUCGGGGGAAAGGUGGCCUCUGCUUGCAAGCUACUGCUCAUGGAUGAGUCCGCGUCCCAUUAGCUAGUUGGUGGGGUAACGGCCCACCAAGGCGACGAUGGGUAGCCGGUCUGAGAGGAUGACCGGCCACACUGGGACUGGAACACGGCCCAGACUCCUACGGGAGGCAGCAGUGGGGAAUAUUGCGCAAUGGGCGAAAGCCUGACGCAGCGACGCCGCGUGAGGGAUGAAAGGUCCUCGGAUCGUAAACCUCUGUCAGGAGGGAAGAACCGCCACGGUGCUAAUCAGCCGUGGUCUGACGGUACCUCCAAAGGAAGCACCGGCUAACUCCGUGCCAGCAGCAGC